GAUGAACGCUGGCGGCGUGCCUAAUACAUGCAAGUCGAGCGAACGGACGAGAAGCUUGCUUCUCUGAUGUUAGCGGCGGACGGGUGAGUAACACGUGGAUAACCUACCUAUAAGACUGGGAUAACUUCGGGAAACCGGAGCUAAUACCGGAUAAUAUUUUGAACCGCAUGGUUCAAAAGUGAAAGACGGUCUUGCUGUCACUUAUAGAUGGAUCCGCGCUGCAUUAGCUAGUUGGUAAGGUAACGGCUUACCAAGGCAACGAUGCAUAGCCGACCUGAGAGGGUGAUCGGCCACACUGGAACUGAGACACGGUCCAGACUCCUACGGGAGGCAGCAGUAGGGAAUCUUCCGCAAUGGGCGAAAGCCUGACGGAGCAACGCCGCGUGAGUGAUGAAGGUCUUCGGAUCGUAAAACUCUGUUAUUAGGGAAGAACAUAUGUGUAAGUAACUGUGCACAUCUUGACGGUACCUAAUCAGAAAGCCACGGCUAACUACGUGCCAGCAGCCGCGGUAAUACGUGGGUGGCAAGCGUUAUCCGGAAUUAUUGGGCGUAAAGCGCGCGUAGGCGGUUUUUUAAGUCUGAUGUGAAAGCCCACGGCUCAACCGUGGAGGGUCAUUGGAAACUGGAAAACUUGAGUGCAGAAGAGGAAAGUGGAAUUCCAUGUGUAGCGGUGAAAUGCGCAGAGAUAUGGAGGAACACCAGUGGCGAAGGCGACUUUCUGGUCUGUAACUGACGCUGAUGUGCGAAAGCGUGGGGAUCAAACAGGAUUAGAUACCCUGGUAGUCCACGCCGUAAACGAUGAGUGCUAAGUGUUAGGGGGUUUCCGCCCCUUAGUGCUGCAGCUAACGCAUUAAGCACUCCGCCUGGGGAGUACGACCGCAAGGUUGAAACUCAAAGGAAUUGACGGGGACCCGCACAAGCGGUGGAGCAUGUGGUUUAAUUCGAAGCAACGCGAAGAACCUUACCAAAUCUUGACAUCCUUUGACAACUCUAGAGAUAGAGCCUUCCCCUUCGGGGGACAAAGUGACAGGUGGUGCAUGGUUGUCGUCAGCUCGUGUCGUGAGAUGUUGGGUUAAGUCCCGCAACGAGCGCAACCCUUAAGCUUAGUUGCCAUCAUUAAGUUGGGCACUCUAAGUUGACUGCCGGUGACAAACCGGAGGAAGGUGGGGAUGACGUCAAAUCAUCAUGCCCCUUAUGAUUUGGGCUACACACGUGCUACAAUGGACAAUACAAAGGGCAGCGAAACCGCGAGGUCAAGCAAAUCCCAUAAAGUUGUUCUCAGUUCGGAUUGUAGUCUGCAACUCGACUACAUGAAGCUGGAAUCGCUAGUAAUCGUAGAUCAGCAUGCUACGGUGAAUACGUUCCCGGGUCU
RNAcentral lists this ribosomal RNA (1372 nucleotides) under uncultured bacterium. Its description in RNAcentral is "bacterial SSU rRNA". It matches the Rfam family "Bacterial small subunit ribosomal RNA", at positions 28 to 1381 of the family's 1533-position model. The record is from RNAcentral.